CCUACGGGUGGCAGCAGUGGGGAAUAUUGGGCAAUGGACGCAAGUCUGACCCAGCAACGCCGCGUGAAGGAAGAAGGCUCUCGGGUUGUAAACUUCUUUUUAGGGGGAAGAGCAGAAGACGGUACCUCUUGAAUAAGCCACGGCUAACUACGUGCCAGCAGCCGCGGCAAUACGUAGGUGGCAAGCGUUGUCCGGAUUUCCUGGGUGUAAAGGGCGUGCAGCCGGUGAGACAAGUCAGAUGUGAAAUCCACGGGCUCAACUCAUGAACUGCAUUUGAAACUGUUUCCCUUGAGUGUAGGAGAGGUAAGCGGAAUGCCUUGUGUAGCGGGGAAAUGCGUAGAUAUAAGGCAGAACACCGGUGGCGAAGGCGGAUUACUGGACGACAACUGACGUUGAGGCGCGAAAGCGUGGGGAGCAAACAGGAUUAGAUACCCCAGUAGUC
This 442-nucleotide ribosomal RNA is filed under the name uncultured bacterium. Its description in RNAcentral is "partial 16S ribosomal RNA". It matches the Rfam family "Bacterial small subunit ribosomal RNA", at positions 338 to 795 of the family's 1533-position model. The record is from RNAcentral.